CAUUCAAGUCCCUCUAGAAUCUAGGCCCUCCCAAUAAUUUCUUCCUCAUCAUACUCACUUCCGAUCUGAGUUAACUCGUUCAUAUCUAUCUUUGCAAACUGAUUUUAUUCCCGGGUUCUGUGAGCUGUCUGUAAAUUUGUCAAGAAAAUGCAACUCUGCUGUUUCUCUUCCCGAUGGAGAGAAAAAGAAACAAAAGAUUUCUGAAAUCCAAGCAACUUUGGAUGAUGCUAGUGUUUUGGUAAUGCAAAGCUUCCACCUUUAUUUUGUCAUAAGUUUUCUCUCAGUACUAAUCUCAAAUGAGUUGUAUUUUCCUAGAUUUGAAAAAUGGAUCUUGAGGCAAGAAGCUUGUAGCCAAGCUUGAAGCCUACACUACUUGCUAAGCUCAGGGGAUAUAAAUCCGAUCUAAAUAAGUUGAAAAGGGAAGUGAAAAAACUAGCUUUGCCUAAUUCAAAUGUUCCUGGCCAUGCAGAUUUGUUAGAAUUUGGAAUGGCUGGUGCAAAUUCAGUAUACUUCUAUGCAAUUGCCCUUCUGAUUUUUUUCAUCCUUAAUAUAUAUCGUAUAUAUAUAUAUUGCAUGGAGAAUCGCAAUUGGCUUCGACAAUGUAAAGCAUCAUUUAGCCCCACAGGAAAUAAUUCAAUUGUAUCUGGUUGCACAGUAAGUGAAGACUUCUAUUUUACCAUUAAUAGAGUCGUGCAAAGAUUAUCCUUGAGAAUUAUUUACUUUUUUUAAAUAGGUAAUUUAAUAAAAACAGACCUCACUUAUGGUGAAGGAAUACUGUGGUGACAAUAUAGCCUUACAAAUAGCAAACUAAAAAGCUAGACAAAUCAACUUACUUACGUAAAUAUGGCAUUCCUAUGUGGUCCAACCGAUCAAGGCCACGAGCAUGCACAGGCAAGUCAUUAGUAGAUGUAAAAUGCUGCAUCACACCUUAUGCCCCCAUUUUUGCUAAUGAAUCCGCCACUUGAUUUGCUUCCCUGAACUGGUAUGAAACUUGUAUAUCAAAUAAACUCAUUAAAUUCAAUAACUCCUCCCAAAAAUCCCACAAAUACCAAAUUGUGCACUUGCGUUUCAACAUCCAUUCCACAACGAUUUUGGAAUUACAUUCAAUAUCAACCUAAAAAACUCCUAUAUGCUGGCAAAGUUUAGGCCCCUCAAUAAUAGCUCUUAGCUCAGCUUCGUUAUUCGAUGCUAUCCCAAAAUUGCUUGCAAACGCCGCUAGCACCAUUCAUUUGUCAUUGUGUAUCACUCUUCCUCUACCUGCCUGUCCUAGGUUUCCUAAACUACUCCUAUCUACAUUGAUCGUUACUCUCCUAUCCAUUGGUUUUUUCUACGUCACCAAGUGUGUAGGUAAUAUUUUCCUUACCACACAAGGAAUGCCCAUAUCUUUUAGGAUAUUUUCCUCCUCAUAUGUCAAUACUCUUGUCUUUGUAACAUUAUUUGCCAAUUGUUGCAGCCAAGAUUUAAUAGACAAAACAUCUUCAAUUGAUUCAUUAAGACCCUCCAUCUUUGCUCUACAUCUUUGAAUCCAAAGUCUCCAAGUUGCUAAACAUGGGAUUAGCCCCUGUAAGCAUCCUAAUUGAGAGGACCUAUUGGCUUGAGCCCAGCAAAUUUGUAUCCUAUCCCACCAUGCUUGCUUUUCAUACCACCUAACACCAAGGAUAGAGGAAAGUCUCCUUCACACCUCGUCUGCGAAUUCUCCAGAGCUUAAGAUAUGGUUAGCAUCCUCCUCAUGGCUAGCUGUGCAACAAUUACAUCGAGAUACCAUAGCCACUCCAACUUGACAAAUCUUAUCAUCAACACUAAGCUUUCCCGACAAGGCUUUCCACAUCACAACUGAAGCCCUCUUAGGAAGGGCAGUAUGCCACACCCAUUGCAACCACUCCACUAUGGAAGCCCUCGCUCGAAUCACAUCCUAAGCAUUUUUGGUUGAGAAUCUUCCUUGUACAUUUGGUCUCCAUAUGAGAAUAUCCUUUUUAGAUUUUUGACCUUCUACUUUUCUCAUUAUGCUUGUUGCCAUGUCGAUCCCUACUAACUGACCCAACCUAUCAAUAUCCUAGGCAAUUUCCAAGCAGAUUUCACGAACCUUCAAACUAGGUUGAACAAUCUGAUCCACUCUUUGGCAAAGUGGGCCCUCUUCUAACCAUUUAUCGUACCAAAUGAUAUUUUUCCUUCCCUAAUCUUUCAUUGGCUAUUAGCAACCACAUCAGGGAAACAAUCCAUCAAAAAUUUCCAAAACCUUGAGCCCAUAUGACCCAGGUUUUCUACAUCCACCAAACCCUUUGGUGUAUAUUUUGAUUUGAAAAAGCGGGCCCACAACAAAUCAACAGUAAGCACUUUCCAAGCAAAUUUCAUGUGGAGAGACUUUUGAAUUUCUUCAAACCUACAAAUCCCAAGGCCUCCCUCCAUUAGUGGUGUACAAAUUUUCUUCCAUGAGCACCAUUUUUCCUAUUUCUUCCAUUAAUCUCUCCCCAAAGAAAGAGGAUAAUAUGGAAUUUAAGGUCGUGAAAACUGAUUUAGGAACACUUAGAACAGAUAAUAAAUGGGUUGCCAUACAUGAUAAAACAUGUCUCAAUAACACAAGACGACCUCCUUGUGAUAAAAGUUGUCUUUUCCAUCCUGCAAUCUUUUUUUUUUUUUGAAUUUUCUUCACUAAAAGCUGUAGAUGACGAGCAUUCAAUCUUUCUACCACCACUGGCACCCCAAAUAAGUUAUUGGAAAAAAGCCCUCUCUGAAAGAACUUAACCGAAGAACCUCAUUCUUGCGAGAUGCCCCAUAAUGUUUAGCAAAGAAAAUAGCUAACUUCUCUUUAUUGAUAACUUGGCCUAUCCAUUUUUCAUAUAAUUGAAAGGUCUCCAUUAAAGCUUUUAUCGAUCUUUUACUUCCAUUAGCAAAGUUUACAAUAUCAUUAGCAUAUAGCAAAUGCGAAUCGAAUGUGCACCUCAGGGAUGUGAAUAAACACCUAUGCAGCCAUCUACGAAUUUUUUUUCUCACUAGCCUAGUCAACACAUCUUCCUUGAUAAUAAAUAAAUAUGGGGACAUAGGAUCACCUUGCCUCAGUUAAUAUUAGGAUUUGGUAUCUUUUAUGGUUUUCUUUUUCAAUUCCUAGAUCAACUGGAAAAUUAAGUGAUAGAUGUCAAUGUCAUGAUGAGAUUGUAUAGAUUAGCUAGAUUUAACCAAGAUGAAUGUUUGUUCAAAAUGUCAAUAUAGUUAUGUUCUCACUUUCUAUUAUCCUAUUUUAUUAUGCUAUGUUAGCUUUUACCAAAGAGAAGAGUUGAGCAGCGUUUGACUUGGGUAUCCUCCUUAGACAUAUUUUUCAACUAAAUUAGUGCUUAUCUCAUUGUUGCUGACUCUACAUAUGAUAAUUUCAACUGAGAGGGUCAACCAAUCAACUGACAGAAUCAAGGAAAGUCGACGUGCUACACUAGAGACAGAAGAGCUCGAAGUGUCAAUUCUUGAAGAUUUGCAAUAGCAACGUGAAACUCUCUUGCAUUCCCAUAAGAAGGCAUGUGUCACUUUCCAAGAGUUCUUAGCUCCCAUUUCGCCCCCAUCUUUUGAAAUGAAAAUUGUAUUUUUCAACAGAAAAUGUAAAAAUAGAUGUAAACUUACAUCUUCUUUCAUCCAUGAGAGGCAAAAAGUGGAUUUAGAUCUUCCAAUUUGAGCAAAAUUUGAAUUUAGAUACAUUGGAAUGUAAAUGAGAAUGCAAAAGUGAUUUUAAAGAUAUCAAUUUACACCCAAUUUUACAUCA
This is a long non-coding RNA of Olea europaea var. sylvestris, 3745 nucleotides long. RefSeq lists it as uncharacterized. The transcript has 3 exons. NCBI's taxonomy places the organism in Eukaryota, Viridiplantae, Streptophyta, Magnoliopsida, Lamiales, Oleaceae. The record is from RefSeq and is a predicted model, not a curated record.